Silurus meridionalis is the source of this 1316-nucleotide long non-coding RNA. RefSeq lists it as uncharacterized. Lineage: Eukaryota; Metazoa; Chordata; Actinopteri; Siluriformes; Siluridae. The transcript is spliced from 5 exons. The record is from RefSeq and is a predicted model, not a curated record.
CAGAGUUGGAGCAGCAGUGCUAUCAGAUAACAUCUCUAGGAUACUUCACACCAUCUGACUGAUUUUAGAAAAGAUUGUUGCUGCCCAGUUCUAUUCCCACUUACAAGACCCCAGAGGACUCCAGAAACCUAUAGAUCUGCCACAGAACAGCUGGAAAGAGAAGACGUGUCAGAAGUACAGGGGAUAAAGUUCAGAUAUGGCUGAAUCACAGCUGCUAAAGAACAUAGGGGAUGUGAUAGCAGGAGUGCUUCCAGACCUUCCUGAUCAACGUGUUAAGUCCGUUGAAGAUACAUUGAAAACACUUGGUGCAGCAACCACAGAUGAUUUAAAGAACAUCACAGAAAACGAUUUGCUGCCAGUGUUAAAGCCCAUACAAGCACAAAGACUGGUUGCUGCCUGGACCCAAAAUAUCUCCGGGACUUCAACAACAAAAUCUGUGCAUUCAUCUCCAGUGGUUGUCUUUCCCUCUGCACCCUCAAUUUCUUCUUCACCAGCAUCAUCCACCUCUACAUCAUCUUCAGGAAUCUGUACACCAUUAAUACCAAACUGCUUAGAGCGAUUUGAAAUCCCAUGGCAGAGGCUCCCUGAGGAGUUAAUACAGAACUUGGAAAGACAGAAAAAACCAAGUGCAAGACAAUGAAGAGAAAUGGUGAGGAUCGUGGUCUCUGAAAUGAUGAAGAUUUGCAAGAAUCCAACCAAACACAACUUCUCAAGCUUCAGACUGAAAGAGGUCAGUCCAGUGGUUGCUCCCAAGAAGUCAUUGAGAUGCUGCUUCUUUUACUGGCUCAUUUUGAUGAGAAGGAAGAGCUUCUGUUCCACUGUGUUGAGACGACAAGCCUUGCAGAGGAUGUUCAGAUGGAGAAAGUGCCACCAACACCCUUCAUUAUUGUUUGUGGUUCCUCCUGCUUUGCUGCUGAGACAUUCAUGUUGAGCAUCGACAAGAAGAUUGUCAACGACCACAUCACAACCUUCACCUCCGCCAUCUGCCUGAUGUUUGGCAGUUAUUACUGCUUUAACACACACUACCCAGUGGAACUACGAUCAACACUGGAGUUUCUCCAACGCUAAUAUUCUGUUUUUAUGAACACCUUUUUUGGAUUUAUCAAACGUAUCAAUUUGAUAUCCAUCUCAGGUUGUUCAUUUUCUCAAUCUUUCUCUCACUCUAUUUUUUUUUCCAUAAAGGAGUUUCUUUUCCAUAAAUCCUGAGAGGCACCGAGGUUGAAUCCAAGAAGAAAAAAGUGUUGAGUCAAUCCCAGAGUCCUCACUCUCAUCUCAGACAUUGCUGACCAUGAGUGGAUCUAGUGCUCCCCUCUUGU